GACGAACGCUGGCGGCGUGCUUAACACAUGCAAGUCGAACGGAAAGGCCCUGCUUUUGUGGGGUGCUCGAGUGGCGAACGGGUGAGUAACACGUGAGUAACCUGCCCUUGACUUUGGGAUAACUUCAGGAAACUGGGGCUAAUACCGGAUAGGAGCUCCUGCUGCAUGGUGGGGGUUGGAAAGUUUCGGCGGUUGGGGAUGGACUCGCGGCUUAUCAGCUUGUUGGUGGGGUAGUGGCUUACCAAGGCUUUGACGGGUAGCCGGCCUGAGAGGGUGACCGGCCACAUUGGGACUGAGAUACGGCCCAGACUCCUACGGGAGGCAGCAGUGGGGAAUAUUGCACUAUGGGCGGAAGCCUGAUGCAGCAACGCCGCGUGCGGUAUGACGGCCUUCGGGUUGUAAACCGCUUUCGCCUGUGACGAAGCGUGAGUGACGGUAAUGGGUAAAGAAGCACCGGCUAACUACGUG
RNAcentral lists this ribosomal RNA (468 nucleotides) under uncultured bacterium. RNAcentral's name for it is "partial 16S ribosomal RNA". It matches the Rfam family "Bacterial small subunit ribosomal RNA", at positions 28 to 507 of the family's 1533-position model. The record is from RNAcentral.